This 978-nucleotide ribosomal RNA is filed under the name human gut metagenome. RNAcentral describes it as "bacterial LSU rRNA". It matches the Rfam family "Bacterial large subunit ribosomal RNA", at positions 1945 to 2925 of the family's 2925-position model. The record is from RNAcentral.
ACGGUCCUAAGGUAGCGAAAUUCCUUGUCGGGUAAGUUCCGACCCGCACGAAAGGUGUAACGACUUGGGCACUGUCUCAACGAGGGACCCGGUGAAAUUGAAAUACCUGUGAAGAUGCAGGUUACCCGCGACUGGACAGAAAGACCCCAUGGAGCUUCACUGCAGCUUGAGAUUGAAUCUCGGUGAUGCAUGCACAGGAUAGGUGGGAGACUAAGAAGUAUGGGCUUUGGCUUAUACCGAGUCGAUGUUGGGAUACCACCCUUGUAUUGCUGAGAUUCUAACACGGAGGCUAACAACCUCGUGGACCAUCUCAGGUAGGCGGUUUGACUGGGGCGGUCGCCUCCGAAAGAGUAACGGAGGCGCCCAAAGGUUCCCUCAGCGCGGCCGGAAAUCGCGCGAAGAGUGUAAAGGCAGAAGGGAGCUUGACUGAGAGCCAAACACGGCGAUCAGGUACGAAAGUAGGGCUUAGUGAUCCGGUGGCAUCCAAGUGGAAGGGCCAUCGCUCAACGGAUAAAAGCUACCCUGGGGAUAACAGGCUAAUCUCUCCCAAGAGUUCAUAUCGACGGGGAGGUUUGGCACCUCGAUGUCGGCUCAUCACAUCCUGGAGCUGGAGUAGGUUCCAAGGGUUGGGCUGUUCGCCCAUUAAAGUGGUACGCGAGCUGGGUUCAAAACGUCGUGAGACAGUUUGGUUCAUAUCCAUCGCGGGCGCAAGAAGUUUGAGGGAGGCUGCUCCUAGUACGAGAGGACCGGAGUGGACGGAUCAACGGUGUACCAGUUGUCACGCCAGUGGCACGGCUGGAAAGCCGCAUCCGGAAAGGAUAAACGCUGAAAGCAUCUAAGCGUGAAGCCCGUCCCGAGAUGAGACUUCUCAUCAGCAAUGAGUAAGACCCCUUAAAGACGAUGAGGUUGAUAGGCUGUGAGUGGAAGGCCCGUAAGGGUUGGAGCGACGCAGUACUAAUAGGUCGAGGUCUUAACUUG